RNAcentral lists this long non-coding RNA (802 nucleotides) under Heterocephalus glaber (naked mole-rat). RNAcentral's name for it is "lncRNA (ENSHGLG00000033040.1)". The record is from RNAcentral. Lineage: Eukaryota; Metazoa; Chordata; Mammalia; Rodentia; Bathyergidae.
CACCUUGAUUUGAACAGCUUUUCCUCCGCUGCCAAGCCAUCCUGCUUUGGAGCCAGCCAGCUAUGGACUAAAAACGGUGACAAAUUGGGCAGAGGCUCCAGACCAAUUGAUGUCACAGAUAAAAAGGGGCAGUGGCAAUGACUGGAGGUUGUCAAGAGCCUGCUUUUUCAGGCUGGUAACAUGGUCUUCUGUUUCUCCCAGAAGUGCAAAGGGUUUAACUCAGGAAGAAGCAGCACCAUGAAGUGAGCCAGACCUCAUUCACACCUUCCUGCUGUGGCUCCACUCACCCACUGCAGAGUCUACCAAUUCUUUCCUCAGACUUGGCAUAAAUUGGAGGGAAAGAUGUUUACCAGAAUGGAUGGAUGGCUGGAUAGAUGGAUAGAUGGAUAGACAAAUGGAUUAAUCUCAGGGAGUCUUGCAAUGUUCUUCCAUGUGUUUGUGGCAGAAAACACUUUGAUGUGUUUUUAGAAUGCUAUUUCUAAUACUUCAAGUUCAAAUAUCGAGGCUGAAAAAAACAAAGACAUUCUAUCUCCAAAAAGAAGGCAGUACAAUAGAGCUCAACAGCACGAGCUUUGGAGUCAUUCAGUCCUUAUUAACACCUCUGAAUUUCUGUUUCUUCAUGUAUAAAAUGAUGGUAAUAACAGUACCUUUCUCAAAGAUGGUUGCUAUUUGAAUUAACUAAAAUAACUUUUGGAUAAUAUCAGUAAUUUACUGCUUAUAAAAUAGGGAGCACUUGAGAAAUUAUAACUCUAACUCACUGAAAAGAUUUCUGUUGAGGUUAUUAUAGGCUUAGUUCUAUCAC